GCGUUGUUCGGAAUUACUGGGCGUAAAGGGCUCGUAGGCGGCCAACUAAGUCAGACGUGAAAUCCCUCGGCUUAACCGGGGAACUGCGUCUGAUACUGGAUGGCUUGAGUUUGGGAGAGGGAUGCGGAAUUCCAGGUGUAGCGGUGAAAUGCGUAGAUAUCUGGAGGAACACCCGUGGCGAAGGCGGCUCUCUGGGACGUGACUGACGCUGAGACGCGAAAGCGUGGGGAGCGAACAGG
RNAcentral lists this ribosomal RNA (239 nucleotides) under uncultured bacterium. RNAcentral describes it as "partial 16S ribosomal RNA". It matches the Rfam family "Bacterial small subunit ribosomal RNA", at positions 538 to 776 of the family's 1533-position model. The record is from RNAcentral.